RNAcentral lists this ribosomal RNA (389 nucleotides) under uncultured bacterium. RNAcentral describes it as "bacterial SSU rRNA". It matches the Rfam family "Bacterial small subunit ribosomal RNA", at positions 30 to 419 of the family's 1533-position model. The record is from RNAcentral.
AUUGAACGCUGGCGGAAUGCUUUACACAUGCAAGUCGAACGGUAGAGGGGGCAACCCCUUGAGAGUGGCGAACGGGUGAGUAAUAUAUCGGAACGUGCCCAGUCGUGGGGAUAACGUAGCGAAAGUUACGCUAAUACCGCAUACGAUCUAAGGAUGAAAGCGGGGGGACUCGCAAGAGCCUCGCGCGAUUGGAGCGGCCGAUAUCAGAUUAGGUAGUUGGUGGGGUAAAGGCUCACCAAGCCAACGAUCUGUAGCUGGUCUGAGAGGACGACCAGCCACACUGGAACUGAGACACGGUCCAGACUCCUACGGGAGGCAGCAGUGGGGAAUUUUUGGACGAAUGGACGCAAGUCUGAUCCAGCCAUUCCGCGCGCAGGAUGAAGGCCUUC